This 253-nucleotide ribosomal RNA is filed under the name uncultured bacterium. RNAcentral's name for it is "partial 16S ribosomal RNA". It matches the Rfam family "Bacterial small subunit ribosomal RNA", at positions 524 to 776 of the family's 1533-position model. The record is from RNAcentral.
UACGGAGGAUGCAAGCGUUAUCCGGAAUGAUUGGGCGUAAAGCGUCCGCAGGUGGCUAUGUAAGUCUGCUGUUAAAGAGUGAGGCUUAACCUCAUAAGAGCAGUGGAAACUACAUGGCUAGAGUGCGUUCGGGGCAGAGGGAAUUCCUGGUGUAGCGGUGAAAUGCGUAGAGAUCAGGAAGAACACCGGUGGCGAAAGCGCUCUGCUAGGCCGCAACUGACACUGAGGGACGAAAGCUAGGGGAGCGAAUGGG